This 21-nucleotide non-coding RNA is filed under the name Caenorhabditis elegans. Lineage: Eukaryota; Metazoa; Nematoda; Chromadorea; Rhabditida; Rhabditidae. The record is from RNAcentral.
UAAGUUUCUCAAAUUUCUCAA